UGCGCAGGCGGUUUGUUAAGUCUGCUGUGAAAUCCCCGAGCUCAACUUGGGAAUUGCAGUGGAUACUGGCAGGCUGGAGUAUGGUAGAGGAAGGUGGAAUUCCCGGUGUAGCAGUGAAAUGCGUAGAGAUCGGGAGGAACACCAGUGGCGAAGGCGGCCUUCUGGACCAAUACUGACGCUCAUGCACGAAAGCGUGGGGAGCAAACAGGAUUAGAUACCCUGGUAGUCCACGCCCUAAACGAUGCGAACUGGAUGUUGGGCACAUUACGGUGCUCAGUGUCGAAGCUAACGCGUUAAGUUCGCCGCCUGGGGAGUACGGUCGCAAGACUGAA
RNAcentral lists this ribosomal RNA (332 nucleotides) under uncultured Dokdonella sp. RNAcentral's name for it is "bacterial SSU rRNA". It matches the Rfam family "Bacterial small subunit ribosomal RNA", at positions 568 to 898 of the family's 1533-position model. The record is from RNAcentral. Lineage: Bacteria; Pseudomonadati; Pseudomonadota; Gammaproteobacteria; Lysobacterales; Rhodanobacteraceae.